This is a long non-coding RNA of Ipomoea triloba (trilobed morning glory), 699 nucleotides long. RefSeq lists it as uncharacterized. The record is from RefSeq and is a predicted model, not a curated record. The transcript is spliced from 2 exons. Lineage: Eukaryota; Viridiplantae; Streptophyta; Magnoliopsida; Solanales; Convolvulaceae.
CAGUUCCAUUAACCAUGUCUAGAUCUAGAUUCUCAAGGCGGCAUGUGAUCAAAACAAUUUCAUCUCCCUCCUCCCAUGCAUUGGCUAACAAGGAGUCAGAAAAGAAAGGAGGCUAGAUACCAAAAUGGAGCUUCCAAUUGUAUAUUUCUAUGCAAUUGAGAAUUAGGUGGGAAAGUUUACUGAACCCGCAAGCUCCUACAGACAUUUCUGAAGUCAUCUUAUCAAGAUAUGUGAGAAACAAAACCACAUUUCUGAAAUCAUCUCUCAAGAUAUGUGAGAAACAAAACCAGAUAUUUCUGAAAUCAUCUUCUCAAGAUAUGUGAGAAACAAAACUGCAUUUCUGAAAUCAUCUUCUCAAGAUAUGUGAGAAACAAAACCAGAUAUCUUAUUCACCGCAGCAGAGGUGUAAUACACACCAGGAGGAAAGGGGAAAACAGAGAUUUGGGAGUAACUCUUUUCUGUUUCAGUGCUUGAAAAUAAUUCCGGUUGCUUGAACAGCAUCAAUCCACUGGAUAGAUGAUUUCUUUUAUUCAUUUUGUUGCUUGUUUUUUUAGAGAAGAUACCAAAUGGUUGUGCUGAACUUGAAGAAAAGCACUUCUCAAUGCUCUAUUGAAUAAGUGCAACUCAUGAGUUAGAAAUAUUUUUUUGUAAUCUUUUAUCUAUUGUGAAAAGCAUAAACAAGUCCUCAUAUUUUGUCUA